Sarcophilus harrisii (Tasmanian devil) is the source of this 45-nucleotide non-coding RNA. The record is from Rfam. Lineage: Eukaryota; Metazoa; Chordata; Mammalia; Dasyuromorphia; Dasyuridae.
AAAAUGACUUUUUUUAAAGUCACACAGAUAGUCUGUGAUAGAAUU